UUACCUACGGGAGGCAGCAAUGGGGAAUAUUGCACAAUGGGGGAAACCCUGAUGCAGCGACGCCGCGUGAGCGAUGAAGUAUUUCGGUAUGUAAGGCUCUAUCAGCAGGGAAGAAAGUGACGGUACCUGAGGAAUAAGCCACGGCUAACUACGUGCCAGCAGCCGCGGUAAUACGUAGGUGGCAAGCGUUAUCCGGAUUUAUUGGGUGUAAAGGGCGUGUAGGCGGGAGCGCAAGUCAGAUGUGAAAACUCAGGGCUCAACCCUGAGCCUGCAUUUGCAACUGUGUUUCUUGAGUGCUGGAGAGG
This 305-nucleotide ribosomal RNA is filed under the name uncultured bacterium. RNAcentral describes it as "bacterial SSU rRNA". It matches the Rfam family "Bacterial small subunit ribosomal RNA", at positions 335 to 657 of the family's 1533-position model. The record is from RNAcentral.